ACGCUGGCGGCAGGCCUAACACAUGCAAGUCGAACGGUAACAGGAAGCAGCUUGCUGCUUCGCUGACGAGUGGCGGACGGGUGAGUAAUGUCUGGGAAACUGCCUGAUGGAGGGGGAUAACUACUGGAAACGGUAGCUAAUACCGCAUAACGUCGCAAGACCAAAGAGGGGGACCUUCGGGCCUCUUGCCAUCGGAUGUGCCCAGAUGGGAUUAGCUAGUAGGUGGGGUAACGGCUCACCUAGGCGACGAUCCCUAGCUGGUCUGAGAGGAUGACCAGCCACACUGGAAC
This 290-nucleotide ribosomal RNA is filed under the name Enterobacter cloacae. RNAcentral's name for it is "partial 16S rRNA". It matches the Rfam family "Bacterial small subunit ribosomal RNA", at positions 33 to 319 of the family's 1533-position model. Lineage: Bacteria; Pseudomonadati; Pseudomonadota; Gammaproteobacteria; Enterobacterales; Enterobacteriaceae. The record is from RNAcentral.